GUGAAUCAUCAAAUCUUUGAACGCAAAUUGCACUCUCUGGUAUUCCGGAGAGUAUGCCUGUUUGAGGGUCAGUUUAAAUAAAAAUCGGUGUGGCUGCUGCCUUUCGUGGUGACGCACCGGAUUUGGGUCGUCUUGCCUUCGGUUAAGUGACCUAAAAUUUUGCAUGAUUUUUUUGGAAGGAAUUUAAUUAAUUUACGGAACUUUUCGAUAUCGAAU
Molecule: unclassified non-coding RNA, 216 nt
Filed under: Glomus sp.
Lineage: Eukaryota; Fungi; Glomeromycota; Glomeromycetes; Glomerales; Glomeraceae
Description: partial contains 5.8S ribosomal RNA and internal transcribed spacer 2
Rfam family: 5.8S ribosomal RNA (bases 1-71)
Source: RNAcentral